RNAcentral lists this ribosomal RNA (575 nucleotides) under uncultured bacterium. RNAcentral describes it as "bacterial SSU rRNA". It matches the Rfam family "Bacterial small subunit ribosomal RNA", at positions 243 to 835 of the family's 1533-position model. The record is from RNAcentral.
AGUUUGUUGGUAGGGUAAUGGCCUACCAAGACUAUGAUCAAUAGCUGAUUUGAGAGGAUGAUCAGCCACAUUGGGACUGAGACACGGCCCAAACUCCUACGGGAGGCAGCAGUGGGGAAUCUUGCACAAUGGAGGAAACUCUGAUGCAGCGAUGCCGCGUGAGUGAAGAAGGCCCUUGGGUUGUAAAGCUCUUUCGUCGGGGAAGAAAAUGACUGUACCCGAAUAAGAAGGUCCGGCUAACUUCGUGCCAGCAGCCGCGGUAAUACGAAGGGACCUAGCGUAGUUCGGAAUUACUGGGCUUAAAGAGUUCGUAGGUGGUUGAAAAAGUUGGUGGUGAAAUCCCAGAGCUUAACUCUGGAACUGCCAUCAAAACUUUUCAGCUAGAGUAUGAUAGAGGAAAGCAGAAUUUCUAGUGUAGAGGUGAAAUUCGUAGAUAUUAGAAAGAAUACCAAUUGCGAAGGCAGCUUUCUGGAUCAUUACUGACACUGAGGAACGAAAGCAUGGGUAGCGAAGAGGAUUAGAUACCCUCGUAGUCCAUGCCGUAAACGAUGUGUGUUAGACGUUGGAAAUUUAUU